Molecule: long non-coding RNA, 354 nt
Filed under: Olea europaea subsp. europaea
Lineage: Eukaryota; Viridiplantae; Streptophyta; Magnoliopsida; Lamiales; Oleaceae
Source: RNAcentral
CUCCUCUAAAUGGAGACAAUUAUCCUACUUGGCGCCGAUCGGUAACACGCGCCUUGAAUGCCAAAAAAAAAAUUAGGAUUCAUCGUCGGCACCAUCAAACAUCCAACUACAGACAUAGCAGCUGCACUUCUUUGGGAUCGUUGUUGCGACAUGAUAAUGUCGUGGUUACUUCAUUCCAUUGAUUGAUCUCUCACCAGAAGCCUCCUUUAUUGUGAAACGCCCAAUGACCUACGGGUCGAACUGGAAACCAGAUUUCAGCAAAGCAACAAGACCAAAAUUUUCACCCUCAAAUGUGACCUUGCCAAUCUUCACCAAGGACAUCAAUCAAUCACUAAUUACUAUGGAAAAUUGAAA